ACUUUGGCAACAUUUUGGUGGAACUCCAGGCAUGUUUGAAAGCAACAGCAACAGUGUUUUUUUCUUCAGUGAACUAGAAUUUAAUUUCUGCACUUUCAAAAGAAGACUGUGAUGCGAUCCAUAGCAAGAGAAUUAAGAAAUGUAGGGAAAAUCUUAACCACUGCCGGGUCUGGAUUUCCAAGGACACAGCUGGUCUUUCUCACCGUCUCAUGUGGAGGCCUAAGGUGCCUGAAUUGAGCUCCGCAGAAAAGAAAGGAACAAACAGCAGCCUCCCAUCGCCCUGUGAAUACACCGGUGGCUUGGGAAGAGAGGGAGGUCACUGAAGGAGUGGAGCUUGCCCUUGUGGCUGCAGUGGCCAUGAGCCCGGAAGGUGGUGGUGGCUGGGGGCCGCCAUGCCGAGGCCAGGCCCAGUGGCCACGCUGCGGGGUCAGGGCCGGCGACCUGUGGACCAGGCCGUCCUUCACUGCUCCCAGCCUCGCUCGCUUUCAAGAUGCACGCCGCUCUUCUUUCAUCUCUUGGAUUCAAAUCCACCAUAAUAAAUAAAAUUCUUCCUGUCUGAAAGAUA
Long non-coding RNA from Cygnus olor (mute swan), 565 nucleotides. RefSeq lists it as uncharacterized. The transcript has 2 exons. Lineage: Eukaryota; Metazoa; Chordata; Aves; Anseriformes; Anatidae. The record is from RefSeq and is a predicted model, not a curated record.